GACUCUGUUAAGGUGGCCCUGAGGAGGGGUAAUGCCUUCAACACCUGGUACUGAGACACGGACCAAGACUCCUACGGGAUGCAGCAAGUGAGUCAUCCUGCGCAAAUGGAGGCCGACUCUGACGCAGCUCAUGCCGCGUGCAGGGAGGACGGCGCUACGCGUUUGUAAACUGCUUUUAAACCGGCCAGAUAACCCCAGAACGUGUCCUGGGGUUGACGGUACCGGAGGACUAAGCACCGGCUGACAUCGUGCCAGCAGCCGCGGUAAUACGAAGGGUGCAAGCGUUAUCCGGAUUCAUUGGGUUUAAAGGGUGCGUAGGUGGGGCGUUAAGUCAGUGGUGAAAGCUUACAGCUCAACUGUAGAAUUGCCAUUGAUACUGGCGCUCUUGAGUGCGCUUGAAGUAGGCGGAAUGUGCCGUGUAGCGGUGAAAUGCUUAGAUAUGGCACAGAACACCAAUUGCGAAGGCAGCUUACUAAGGCGAUACUGACACUGAGGCACGAAAGCGUGGGGAUCGAACAGGAUUAGAUACCCUGGUAGUCCACGCCGUAAACGAUGAUCACUCGUCAUUGGCGAUAUACGGUCAGUGACCUAGCGAAAGCGUUAAGUGAUCCACCUGGGGAGUACGAUCGCAAGAUUGAAACUCAAAGGAAUUGACGGGGGCCCGCACAAGCGGUGGAGCAUGUGGUUUAAUUCGAUGAUACGCGAGGAACCUUACCAGGGCUCGAACGUGCGUUUCACAGUCGCGGAUAACGCUGAUCUUCUUCGUACUAGACGUGCAGAGGUGCUUGCAUGGUCUGUCGUCAGCUCG
RNAcentral lists this ribosomal RNA (808 nucleotides) under uncultured Bacteroidota bacterium. RNAcentral describes it as "bacterial SSU rRNA". It matches the Rfam family "Bacterial small subunit ribosomal RNA", at positions 275 to 1062 of the family's 1533-position model. The record is from RNAcentral. Lineage: Bacteria; Pseudomonadati; Bacteroidota.